AUAUAUAAUCCCAAAACGGAAACUCGACGGCUAAAAGCCCAUCGUUUCUUCUAAUCCAAAGGCCCAAAUUAUCCCAUAAUUAUCUCUUUCGCCAAAAGCUCUCUCCCUCUCUCUCUCUCUCUCUCUCUCAAAGUCUGCACACAAAAAACGGGGCUAAAAAAAAAAAAUCAAAACUUUCACAUAUAAAUAAUUCCCGUUUUCAAUUUAGAUUUAGCUUUUUAAAAAAAUUUUCUAGGGUUUCGCAAAUGUUAUCGAUUGAAUUUCUACGAGCGACGACAACAAUCCACAGUAAAUUCAGUACAAAUUCUUACUUUAAUCUUCUUUAUCUGCAUGGAUUAAACUUCUCCCCCAAUCGGUUUAGGGUUUUGCAACAAAGCACGAAUCGUUUCAUCCCCAAUUCAAUCACUGUACCUCUACGUAACGUCGCCGUUUUGGGAAACCACGAAAGGUUCAAUCUUUACGGAGGAGGUAAAUUAAGGUUCAAGGAGAGCAAAAUUUUGGCUAAUUGUACAGAUAACAGCGAUUCGAAGGCGAGUUCCAGCGAUAAAAAUGAAGGCGAAGGUGGGCAAGGAGUGAAGCAGAAACAGAAUUCGACAAAUUCGGGCGGUUCGACCGAUCAGAGACGAGAAAAGAGCGGAAAAAGCGGGCUUUGGUGGUCCAAAGGAAAGAAAUGGCAGUGGCAACCGAUAAUUCCAGCUCAAGAAAUCGGUGUUUUGCUUCUACAGUUAGGUAUUGUUAUGUUCGUUAUGCGGUUGCUUCGACCAGGGAUUCCGUUACCCGGGUCCGAGCCCAGGACUCCAACGACUUUCGUCAGCGUUCCUUACAGUGACUUUUUGAGUAAGAUUAAUGGUAACCAAGUUCAAAAGGUGGAGGUUGAUGGGGUUCAUAUAAUGUUUAAAUUGAAGAACGAAGGUAGCGUUCAAGAGAGUGAAAUUGGUGGUGUUAGUAAUAGUAAGUUUCAAGAAUCGGAGUCAUUGUUGAGGAGCGUGGCGCCUACGAAGAGAAUUGUGUAUACAACCACUCGGCCGAGUGAUAUCAAGACUCCAUAUGAGAAGAUGCUGGAAAAUGAUGUGGAGUUUGGGUCUCCUGAUAAGAGGUCCGGUGGCUUCUUGAACUCUGCAUUGAUAGCUUUGUUCUAUGUUGCUGUCCUUGCGGGACUUCUCCAUCGAUUCCCAGUGAGCUUUUCUCAGCAUACAGCUGGUCAGAUUAGGAAUCGGAAGUCUGGGGGUGCUGGAGGUUCAAAAGUGUCUGAACAGGGUGAAACAAUUACUUUUGCUGAUGUUGCUGGUGUUGAUGAGGCCAAGGAGGAGCUAGAAGAAAUUGUGGAAUUUCUUAGAAAUCCAGACAGGUAUAUACGACUUGGUGCUCGUCCUCCCCGAGGAGUUCUCCUGGUGGGUCUUCCUGGGACAGGUAAGACUCUUUUAGCGAAAGCUGUGGCUGGCGAAGCAGAAGUUCCAUUCAUAAGUUGUUCUGCCAGUGAGUUUGUAGAGUUAUAUGUUGGCAUGGGUGCCUCUCGAGUUAGAGAUCUCUUUGCACGAGCAAAGAAGGAGGCACCAUCAAUAAUUUUUAUUGAUGAGAUAGAUGCUGUGGCAAAAAGUCGUGAUGGUAAGUUUCGCAUUGUUAGCAAUGAUGAACGAGAGCAAACUUUGAACCAAUUGCUCACUGAGAUGGAUGGAUUUGACAGCAAUUCUGCAGUGAUUGUUCUUGGAGCUACAAAUCGUUCUGAUGUCUUGGAUCCUGCCCUUCGUCGACCUGGGAGAUUUGAUCGUGUUGUUAUGGUAGAGACUCCUGACAGGAUUGGAAGAGAAGCUAUUUUGAACGUACAUGUUUCUAAGAAGGAACUUCCCCUUGGGGAGGAUGUUGAUCUUGGUGACAUUGCCACUAUGACUACUGGUUUUACUGGGGCUGACCUCGCAAAUCUGGUAAAUGAAGCUGCCUUGCUCGCUGGAAGAAAUAACAAAGUUGUUGUAGAGAGAAUUGAUUUCAUUCAUGCAGUAGAGCGAUCAAUAGCUGGCAUAGAGAAGAAAACUGCCAAGUUGAAAGGAAGUGAGAAGGCUGUAGUAGCAAGGCAUGAAGCUGGCCAUGCAGUAGUAGGUACGGCUGUUGCAAACCUUCUUCCUGGACAGCCACAUGUUGAGAAAUUGAGCAUAUUGCCAAGAUCAGGAGGAGCACUGGGCUUUACUUAUACUCCUCCUACCAAUGAGGAUAGAUAUUUACUCUUCAUUGAUGAGUUACGUGGCCGUUUGGUUACUCUUCUUGGUGGACGUGCUGCAGAGGAAGUUGUUUAUUCAGGUCGAGUUUCUACCGGUGCCCUUGAUGAUAUUCGGCGGGCAACAGACAUGGCAUACAAGGCAGUUGCUGAAUAUGGUCUUAAUCAGACUAUAGGCCCUCUGUCUUUAGCUACGCUUUCUGGUGGAGGCAUGGAUGAAUCUGGAGGUGCAGUUCCUUGGGGACGGGAUCAGGGACAUCUUGUUGAUCUUGUUCAAAGAGAGGUGAAAGCAUUAUUGCAGUCUGCCCUUGAAGUAGCCCUCUCUGUUGUUCGUGCUAAUCCGACUGUUUUGGAAGGGCUUGGUGCCCACCUGGAAGAAAAUGAGAAAGUAGAAGGCGAAGAGCUACAAGAAUGGUUGAAAUUGGUUGUUGCACCAAAGGAACUAACAAUCUUCAUUGGAGGAAAGCAAGAGUCUCUUCUGCCAGUGCAAGUGAGCUCUGUAUAAGCGGUUUUGCUCAUUGCUUGUCAACAUUGAGCAUAACAUGGAGUUAAUUAAAGCUUUCUUCAUGCCUUGACGGCUUGACCUUAUCAGUGAGCAUGUCUUGGUUACUGGCAUCAGCUCCCUUGCACAUUUUUGUAUAUUUCAGCAAGGUGAAUUUUGGCUUUAUUUUUAAUACUACCAAGUCUUUUCAUUGUUUUAUUCUCACUACACUUACAGAGGAAAUGUAGAGCAAGAAGUGGUAAAGCUGAAGAACUAUUUCCUCAAAGAGCCUUCAAGCUUGUCUCACCGUACUUGACAUUAUGUUGACAAGUGCAGGGAAAGGGUGACUUGUAGGUGAAACAUUAGCUGUUGAGAAGAAUGAAGAGUGGUACUGAGUAGUUGAGAUUCGAUGUUUUAGAAUCGUACUGAGUCGAGAUUUGAUAUUUUAGAAGGAAACCCAAAAUAUCGGUGUUGCUUUCAGAUAAAAAUUCUUCCCUGCGUCCUCUUUCUGGGGAAACAAACAAUUUCAAAUGACCUGUCACCAUUUCUCUCAUUUGGACGACAGCUCAAUCAUCCGUUGAUUGAUGAUCCUAUAUCUGCCUCAAAUUCCCUAUCCUUAAUUCUGCACUAUAAUGAAUAUUAAU
Non-coding RNA from Durio zibethinus, 3334 nucleotides. The record is from RefSeq and is a predicted model, not a curated record. NCBI's taxonomy places the organism in Eukaryota, Viridiplantae, Streptophyta, Magnoliopsida, Malvales, Malvaceae.